Molecule: long non-coding RNA, 566 nt
Organism: Oryza sativa Japonica Group (Japanese rice)
Lineage: Eukaryota; Viridiplantae; Streptophyta; Magnoliopsida; Poales; Poaceae
Source: RefSeq, a predicted model, not a curated record
ACCGUCAACGACGCGGGAGUGGCGCUAGGCACGGCUCCUGGCUCCGAAGGAGAGGGCGGCACCCUCCGCAACGCCCUACAGAGACUACGGCAGCGAUGUCGGAAGUUGGCAGCAAGGCUCGGCUGCAGGUCGACUGAUGUGGUCGAACAUGCUCAUGCCCACCAAGAGGGGGAUGAAGAAGGGGAGGUGGGUGACGAGGAGGGCGAGCAAGACAAAGAGGCGGAGGAAGGAGAUGAGGAGGAAGAAGGGGAUGAGGACAGAGAAGAGGAGGCGGAUGAGCUCGGUCCCUCGCAGCUAGAGGACGCACCAGAGUCGUCACAGCCGGAUAUCUCGCAGCCCGGCCCGUCUCGACCACGACGCCGGCGGGCUCCUUCGCAGGACUGGAGGUACACCCCCGACGUGCCUCGUCCUCGCACUAGAGGUAGGAGGAGGUGAGUGCAUGGUUCAAUGGAUGGAUGGAUAGAUGGAUGGACUUGAUGCAUGGUUCGAUGGAUGUAUGGACUGGAUGUAUGGACUCGACUGGAUGUAUAGACGAGGAUCGAUGGGAUGUUUUUAUUUCUUAUAUA